UUGAUGUAAAUUGAUACAAUCACAGGUUUUUACUAUUUACUUAGGUUGAAGAUGUAUAUUAUGAUGACCCUCAAUUCUACCACUAGCUCUGCACACCUAAUCUUAAAAAGCAAUGAAUAAUCUCGGUGUGAAUGCACAACACAGACGCUCAUUCCCAGAAGAAAAGUUGCCUGGAGCAUUAGCAGAUUGCAAAGGCGAAAGAUGUUCAUUCCUGCCUCGUCUGAUUGCUUCUUACACCAGCACCAGCAUUGUCACACCGGUGACUACGCGUUUCAGAGCCAAGCCAUCUGCAACUGGUGAAAAAUGACCCACUGAAGCUGGUGAACAUUUCCCAGCGCUUUUCCAUUGACUUCACACAGCUGUGACAGGCGGUGUCCCAGCAGGGUCCAUGCAGCUCAUCUGCCAAGGGGGAGCGCUGUCAUGAUGGUGACAAACUUUAGGUCUGGGGCUUAGCUUCUGUUUGUUCUAACCACCUCUCACUGCCCCUCAGAAACUACACCCUGUUGGAACUUGGCAACAAAAGUUAUUGACUGAGAGACUGGAGGAGCUUUUACUGCUAAUGUUAUAAAUCUAAGGGGGGAUCAUCCUUCUAAGUCAACUUUUGUGUUUUAGAGAGAGCGAAUCUAAGACAUAGAAAUUUAAGGUCAUGCUACUAGUUGGUGAGUAGUUAAGACUAGGGCCCAGGUCUCUGGUCAGUGCUAUUUCCAUUCUGGGUGCAUGCUUCACGUUAUUAGGUCGUGUAUUUUACUGGUUACCUAUAGGAUUUGCUAGAGAAAAAGGUAUCUGCUUUCUGGAAACUUUCUGCUUAGUACUUUGUCCCAUGUAAUACUCAUAUUGGUUUCUGUCAUUGACCUUGAAUCUGUUGUGUUAAAAAUAUGCUUAGGCUUCUUUAGAUAUAUAGGCUGAUCCAUGCUGUGUGUUUCCAACCAGUCUACCUUACCCUAGGGCAAGUACCAGAGACCCCACAGAGUAGUGGAAAAGUCUUUGGGUUUUAGGGCCUGACAUACCUAAACUGGAAUUCCAAUUUCCCAUUUCCCAUUUGUAUCAUCUUUACAUGUCUUUUAAAGAGCAAACGUUUUUAAUUUUUAUGAAGUCUCAUUUACCAUGAUUUUAAGAGUUUAUUUUUGU
Molecule: long non-coding RNA, 1128 nt
Organism: Diceros bicornis minor
Lineage: Eukaryota; Metazoa; Chordata; Mammalia; Perissodactyla; Rhinocerotidae
Exons: 3
Source: RefSeq, a predicted model, not a curated record